AGCAGCCGCGGUAAUUCCAGCUCCAAUAGCGUAUAUUAAAGUUGUUGCAGUUAAAAAGCUCGUAGUUGAAUUUCGGGAUCAAAGAAUCGGUCAUGCCUUGGUAUGUACUGGUUUUAUUGGUUCUCACCUUCUAAAGAACCAUGAUGUCAUUCAUUUGAUGUUAUGGGGAAUUAGGACUGUUACCUUGAAAAAAUUAGAGUGUUUAAAGCAAGCUUACGCUUGAAUACAUUAGCAUGGAAUAAUGAAAUAGGACAUCAGAUUCUAUUUUGUUGGUUUCUAGGAUCGAUGUAAUGAUUAAUAGGGAUAGUUGGGGGCAUUAGUAUUCAAUUGUCAGAGGUGAAAUUCUUGGAUUUAUUGAAGACUAACUACUGCGAAAGCAUUUGCCAAGGAUGUUUUCAUUAAUCAAGAACGAAAGUUAGGGGAUCGAAGACGAUCAGAUACCGUCGUAGUCUUAACCAUAAACUAUGCCGACUAGGGAUCGGAUGAUGUUAAUUUUUUAAUGACUCAUUCGGCGCCUUAC
RNAcentral lists this unclassified non-coding RNA (520 nucleotides) under uncultured Glomus. RNAcentral describes it as "SSU rRNA". It matches the Rfam family "Eukaryotic small subunit ribosomal RNA", at positions 569 to 1091 of the family's 1831-position model. Lineage: Eukaryota; Fungi; Glomeromycota; Glomeromycetes; Glomerales; Glomeraceae. The record is from RNAcentral.